AUUGAACGCUGGCGGAAUGCUUUACACAUGCAAGUCGAGCGGCAGCGCGGGGGCAACCCUGGCGGCGAGCGGCGAACGGGUGAGUAAUGCAUCGGAACGUACCCAGUCGUGGGGGAUAACGUGGCGAAAGUCACGCUAAUACCGCAUACGUCCCUGAGGGAGAAAGCAGGGGAUCGCAAGACCUUGCGCGAUUGGAGCGGCCGAUGUCUGAUUAGCUAGUUGGUGGGGUAAAGGCCUACCAAGGCGACGAUCAGUAGCUGGUCUGAGAGGACGAUCAGCCACACUGGGACUGAGACACGGCCCAGACUCCUACGGGAGGCAGCAGUGGGGAAUUUUGGACAAUGGGCGAAAGCCUGAUCCAGCCAUUCCGCGUGAGUGAAGAAGGCC
RNAcentral lists this ribosomal RNA (387 nucleotides) under uncultured bacterium. RNAcentral describes it as "bacterial SSU rRNA". It matches the Rfam family "Bacterial small subunit ribosomal RNA", at positions 29 to 416 of the family's 1533-position model. The record is from RNAcentral.